CCAGACUCCUACGGGAGGCAGCAGUGGGGAAUAUUGGGCAAUGGGCGCAAGCCUGACCCAGCAACGCCGCGUGAAGGAAGGAGGCUUUCGGGUUGUAAACUUCUUUUCUCAGGGACGAAGCAAGUGACGGUACCUGGGGAAUAAGCCACGGCUAACUACGUGCCAGCAGCCGCGGUAAUACGUAGGUGGCAAGCGUUAUCCGGACUUACUGGGUGUAAAGGGCGUGUAGGCGGGACUGCAAGUCAGAUGUGAAAACUCAGGGCUCAACCCUGAGCCUGCAUUUGAAACUGGGUUUCUUGAGUGCUGGAGGGGCAAGCGGAAUUCCGUGUGUAGCGGUGAAAUGCGUAGAUAUACGGAGGAACACCAGUGGCGAAGGCGGAUUGCUGGACAGUAACUGACGCUGAGGCGCGAAAGCGUGGGGAGCAAACAGGAUUAGAUACCCCCGUAGC
Molecule: ribosomal RNA, 449 nt
Filed under: uncultured bacterium
Lineage: Bacteria
Description: bacterial SSU rRNA
Rfam family: Bacterial small subunit ribosomal RNA
Source: RNAcentral